Molecule: ribosomal RNA, 213 nt
Filed under: uncultured Staphylococcus sp.
Lineage: Bacteria; Bacillati; Bacillota; Bacilli; Caryophanales; Staphylococcaceae
Description: partial 16S ribosomal RNA
Rfam family: Bacterial small subunit ribosomal RNA
Source: RNAcentral
UACUGGAACCGGAGCUAAUACCGGAUAAUAUAUUGAACCGCAUGGUUCAAUAGUGAAAGACGGUUUUGCUGUCACUUAUAGAUGGAUCCGCGCCGCAUUAGCUAGUUGGUAAGGUAACGGCUUACCAAGGCAACGAUGCGUAGCCGACCUGAGAGGGUGAUCGGCCACACUGGAACUGAGACACGGUCCAGACUCCUACGGGAGGCAGCAGCU